Cucurbita pepo subsp. pepo (vegetable marrow) is the source of this 662-nucleotide non-coding RNA. NCBI's taxonomy places the organism in Eukaryota, Viridiplantae, Streptophyta, Magnoliopsida, Cucurbitales, Cucurbitaceae. The record is from RefSeq and is a predicted model, not a curated record.
AUACUGAUGCCAAUUCCUGUGACUAUUGUUUCGAAGUCUUUCUUAGGUUGGCUUUGUUUUAUAUGAAUAAGUUGUUGAACUUCCCAUGCUUGUGCUGAUUUAGAACCCUUAGUCCAGUUACUCCAAUAAUAGUAUGCAGGAAAUGAGUAACACAAAGGACAAGACCCACCAAAGCGAAUAAUAAGCCAAUAAACUUAGACAUGGAUGUAUUGCCUCAUGAGCUAGUGGAGUUUAGUUAUCAAUGUUUCAGGUACAAUGGUGUAUCAUGAUUAAAUUUCUAGUUCAAUGAAGGAGGAGGUUGAUCAAAGAAAUCAAAUAAAUCAGCUGUGAAAUCAUCAAAGCAAUCAUCUGCAGUUGCAUGGGAACUGUUUGUUUCCGAAGGCUCGCCUGGCUCAAACACGUCUUGCAAAUUGAAAGGAGCGUGGUUCGGAGCCAGUCCGUGGCAGUCUGGAAACAUUCCGAUCUCUUGCGAGGAAUGUGUGAAUUGGGCGAUGCAACAAUGAGAAAAAGGGUCAAAGGGUGCUGCUAGCAUGUGUGUGGAUGGGGUUCCAAAUACUUGAUUUUCAUUUUCCAUAGUUGAUGAUUGUUCAUCCAGCUGAGAGGAGCUGGAGCUAGGAACCUGCAAUUACAUCAGCCAUACUACAAAAAGUUACCAAAAACAA